This 69-nucleotide transfer RNA is filed under the name Marmota marmota marmota (Alpine marmot). It matches the Rfam family "tRNA". Rfam says of the family: Transfer RNA (tRNA) molecules are approximately 80 nucleotides in length. Their secondary structure includes four short double-helical elements and three loops (D, anti-codon, and T loops). Lineage: Eukaryota; Metazoa; Chordata; Mammalia; Rodentia; Sciuridae. RNAcentral also lists the same sequence under 1 other name. The record is from Rfam by way of RNAcentral.
GGGGCUAUAGCUCUGUGGCAGAGCACUUGCCUAGCAUGUAUGAGGCACUGGGUUCAAUCCUUAGCACCA